This 351-nucleotide unclassified non-coding RNA is filed under the name soil metagenome. Its description in RNAcentral is "partial contains 5.8S ribosomal RNA, internal transcribed spacer 2, and large subunit ribosomal RNA". The stretch from base 1 to 121 matches the Rfam family "5.8S ribosomal RNA", at positions 35 to 154 of the family's 154-position model. The record is from RNAcentral.
GAUGAAGGAACGCAGCGAAAUGCGAUAAGUAGUGUGAAUUGCAGAAUUCAGUGAAUCAUCGAAUCUUUGAACGCACAUUGCGCCCGCCAGUAUUCUGGCGGGCAUGCCUGUUCGAGCGUCAUUUCAACCCUCAGGCCCCCAGUGCCUGGUGUUGGGGAUCGGCAGCAGGGCGUCAAGCCCGCCGGCCCCGAAAUCUAGUGGCGGUCUCGCUGUAGUCCUCCUCUGCGUAGUAGCACAACCUCGCAGUUGGAACGCGGCGGUGGCCAUGCCGUUAAACACCCCACUUCUGAAAGUUGACCUCGGAUCAGGUAGGAAUACCCGCUGAACUUAAGCAUAUCAAUAAGCGGAGGA